This 255-nucleotide ribosomal RNA is filed under the name Staphylococcus aureus. RNAcentral describes it as "partial 23S ribosomal RNA". It matches the Rfam family "Bacterial large subunit ribosomal RNA", at positions 1440 to 1690 of the family's 2925-position model. Lineage: Bacteria; Bacillati; Bacillota; Bacilli; Caryophanales; Staphylococcaceae. The record is from RNAcentral.
UGUACCACCUAUAAUCGUUUUAAUCGAUGGGGGGACGCAGUAGGAUAGGCGAAGCGUGCGAUUGGAUUGCACGUCUAAGCAGUAAGGCUGAGUAUUAGGCAAAUCCGGUACUCGUUAAGGCUGAGCUAUGAUGGGGAGAAGACAUUGUGUCUUCGAGUCGUUGAUUUCACACUGCCGAGAAAAGCCUCUAGAUAGAAAAUAGGUGCCCGUACCGCAAACCGACACAGGUAGUCAAGAUGAGAAUUCUAAGGUGAG